GAUUGUAUCACAAUGGAAAUACAGCCAAGGACAACAUGAGUCAUCUCAUACAUAGCGGGAAGAAAGGUGCAAACAGUGCCAAUAAGUUAAGGUAUUGUAAUAAUGUGUACUAGAAUAGAACCUUGGAAUGUUUUAAAGUUAUUGAAGAUGGAGAGCAACAAUCAGUAUGCACGACAUCUUUCUCAAAUGGCUACUAGUUUUCUACAAUCUGUUUCAUCAGGUAUUCGAUCAUUGAUGAUAUUCAAAUCGGAGUCAAUGUUUAAUACAAGUUGGAUUAUGUAAAGCUAUAGUAUAGGAAUAUCAUUAUCGUGCCUUUAUUUUUCCUCAAAGAACACUGUGAGGUUGUAAGGUGGUAGGUACUUCGCACAUUUUAUUGAAUUUUAAUGGUUAUUCAUUUGAUCAUGUAGGUGGACUGAAUCAUCCUCUGUCCUUUUUUAUCAAAUAUAUUUUAAGCAAAUUCUGUGAUAUGCUGGGUAUAAUAUCAGGUGUUGUAA
Molecule: long non-coding RNA, 494 nt
Organism: Mercenaria mercenaria
Lineage: Eukaryota; Metazoa; Mollusca; Bivalvia; Venerida; Veneridae
Exons: 4
Source: RefSeq, a predicted model, not a curated record